UAGUCCACGCCCUAAACGAUGGAUACUAGUUGUCGGGACACCUAAUCGUUUCGGUAACGUAGCUAACGCAAUAAGUAUCCCGCCUGGGAAGUACGGUCGCAAGAUUAAAACUCAAAGGAAUUGACGGGGGCCCGCACAAGCGGUGGAGCAUGUGGUUUAAUUCGACAAUAAACGGGGAAUCUUACCCAGACUUGACAUCCUAAGGAUUUUUUGGAAACAGAAAAGUGCCUUUACGGGAACUUAGUGACAGGUGCUGCAUGGUUGUCGUCAGCUCGUGCCUUGAGGUGUUCGGUUAAGUCCGUUAACGAGCGCAACCCAUGUCUUUAGUUAUUAUGUCUAAAGAGACUGCCUUGGUUAACAAGGAGGAAGGUGUGGAUGACGUCAAAUCAGCAUGGCUUUUACGCUGGGGGCUACGACACAUGAUACAAUGGUAUGUACAAGAGCAGCAAAACUGCGAAGUUGAGCUAAUCUUCAAAGCAUAUCUCAGUCCGGAUUGGAGUCUGAAACUCGACUCCAUGAAGUUGGAAUUG
Molecule: ribosomal RNA, 530 nt
Filed under: uncultured bacterium
Lineage: Bacteria
Description: bacterial SSU rRNA
Rfam family: Bacterial small subunit ribosomal RNA
Source: RNAcentral